This 506-nucleotide ribosomal RNA is filed under the name uncultured bacterium. RNAcentral's name for it is "bacterial SSU rRNA". It matches the Rfam family "Bacterial small subunit ribosomal RNA", at positions 15 to 518 of the family's 1533-position model. The record is from RNAcentral.
GAUUAUGGCUCAGGAUGAACGCUAGCGGCAGGCCUAAUACAUGCAAGUCGAACGGGAUAGGCUCCUUCGGGGGCCUUGAGAGUGGCGCACGGGUGCGCAACGCGUAUGCAACAACCCCCGACGGGCGGAUAGCCGGUGGAAACGCCGGAUAAUACGCCAUGGUUCCGGUGGAGGGCAUCCUCUACUGGAUAAAGCUACGGCGGUCGGGGACGGGCAUGCGUCCCAUUAGAUGGUAGGCGGGGUGACGGCCCACCUAGUCCGCGAUGGGUAGGGGAUCUGAGAGGACGGUCCCCCACACUGGUACUGAGACACGGACCAGACUCCUGCGGGAGGCAGCAGUAAGGGAUAUUGGUCAAUGGGCGGAAGCCUGAACCAGCCAUGCCGCGUGAGGGAAUGAGGCCCUACGGGUCGUGAACCUCUUUUAUUCGGGGACAAGGGCGCGGUCGUGAGCCGUGUUUGAGGGUACCGAAGGAAUAAGCGUCGGCUAACUCCGUGCCAGCCGCAGC